GCGGGAAUGGCGGAACUGGCAGACGCAUUUGAUUUAGAAUCAAGGUAUUGAGGGUUCGACUCCCUUUUCCCGUA
RNAcentral lists this transfer RNA (74 nucleotides) under Chryseobacterium sp. ISL-6. RNAcentral's name for it is "tRNA-Leu". It matches the Rfam family "tRNA". Rfam says of the family: Transfer RNA (tRNA) molecules are approximately 80 nucleotides in length. Their secondary structure includes four short double-helical elements and three loops (D, anti-codon, and T loops). Lineage: Bacteria; Pseudomonadati; Bacteroidota; Flavobacteriia; Flavobacteriales; Weeksellaceae. RNAcentral also lists the same sequence under 1 other name. The record is from RNAcentral.